Molecule: ribosomal RNA, 497 nt
Filed under: uncultured bacterium
Lineage: Bacteria
Description: partial 16S ribosomal RNA
Rfam family: Bacterial small subunit ribosomal RNA
Source: RNAcentral
GAUGAACGCUGGCGGCGUGCCUAAUACAUGCAAGUCGAGCGAACAGAUGAGGAGCUUGCUCCUCUGACGUUAGCGGCGGACGGGUGAGUAACACGUGGAUAACCUACCUAUAAGACUGGGAUAACUUCGGGAAACCGGAGCUAAUACCGGAUAAUAUAUUGAACCGCAUGGUUCAAUAGUGAAAGACAGUUUUGCUGUCACUUAUAGAUGGAUCCGCGCCGCAUUAGCUAGUUGGUAAGGUAACGGCUUACCAAGGCAACGAUGCGUAGCCGACCUGAGAGGGUGAUCGGCCACACUGGAACUGAGACACGGUCCAGACUCCUACGGGAGGCAGCAGUAGGGAAUCUUCCGCAAAGGGCGAAAGCCUGACGGAGCAACGCCGCGUGAGUGAUGAAGGUCUUCAGAUCGUAAAACUCUGUUAUUAGGGAAGAACAAAUGUGUAAGUAACUAUGCACGUCUUGACGGUACCUAAUCAGAAAGCCACGGCUAACUACGUG